This 478-nucleotide ribosomal RNA is filed under the name uncultured bacterium. RNAcentral describes it as "partial 16S ribosomal RNA". It matches the Rfam family "Bacterial small subunit ribosomal RNA", at positions 28 to 523 of the family's 1533-position model. The record is from RNAcentral.
GACGAACGCUGGCGGCGUGCUUAACACAUGCAAGUCGAACGGUAAGGCCCUUCGGGGUACACGAGUGGCGAACGGGUGAGUAACACGUGGGUGAUCUGCCCUGCACUUCGGGAUAAGCCUGGGAAACUGGGUCUAAUACCGGAUAGGACCCUGGGAUGCAUGUCCUGGGGUGGAAAGCUUUUGCGGUGUGGGAUGGGCCCGCGGCCUAUCAGCUUGUUGGUGGGGUGAUGGCCUACCAAGGCGACGACGGGUAGCCGGCCUGAGAGGGUGACCGGCCACACUGGGACUGAGAGACGGCCCAGACUCCUACGGGGGGCAGCAGUGGGGAAUAUUGCACAAUGGGCGCAAGCCUGAUGCAGCGACGCCGCGUGAGGGAUGACGGCCUUCGGGUUGUAAACCUCUUUCAGCACCGACGAAGCGCAAGUGACGGUAGGUGCAGAAGAAGGACCGGCCAACUACGUGCCAGCAGCCGCCGUAA